This 4104-nucleotide long non-coding RNA is filed under the name Octopus vulgaris (common octopus). The record is from RNAcentral. Lineage: Eukaryota; Metazoa; Mollusca; Cephalopoda; Octopoda; Octopodidae.
GUAUGUAUGGGUGUGUCCGUGUAUGUGUGUGUAUGUAGGUGUGUGGGCGUGUGUAUAUGUGUGUGUAUGUAGGUGUGUGGGCGUGUGUAUAUAGGUGUAUGUGUGUAUGUCUGGGUGUGUCCGUGCAUGUUUGUGUGUGUGUGUAUGCAUGUGUAUGUAGGUGUGUGUGUACGUGUGUAAUGUAUGUGUGUAUGCGUGUGUAUGCGUGCGUGUGUGUAUGUAGGUGCUUGUGUAUGUGUGUGGGAGUGUAGGUGUGUGUGUGCGUGUGCGUGUUUAUGUUGGUGUGUGCGUAUGUGAGUGUGAGUGUAUGGGUGUUUGUCAUGCAUGUGUGUGCGCGUGCAGGUAUGUGUGUGUGUAUGUUGUGUGUGAGUGUGUAUGUGUGUAUGUCUGUGUGUAUGUAUGUGCGUAUAGGAGUAUGUAGGUAUGUGUGUGUGUGUGUAUGUGGGUGUAUAUGUAUGUGUGUGUGCGUAUGUGUGUGUAUGUGUAUGUGUGUGUGUUUAUGUAUGUGUGCAUGUAUGUGUGUAGGCGUGUGUGUGUAGAUGUAUGUAUGUAUGGGUGUGUGUCUGUGUGUGUUUGUGUGUGUGUGUAGGUAGAUGUGUGUGUGUGUAUGUAUGUAAGUGUGUGUGUAUACAAGUGUAAUGUAUGUAUGUAGGUGUGUGUGUGUGUAUGUGUACGUGUGCGUGUGUAUGUGUGUGUAUGCGUGUGAGUGUGAGUGUAUGGGUGUAUGUCUGUGUGUGUGUAUGUCUGAAGUAGGUAUGUGUGUGUGUGUGUGUGUGUAUGUGUGUGUGUGUGUGUGUGUGUAUGUGUGUGUGUGUAUGUGUGUGUGUGAGUAGGUGUGCGUGUAUGUAUGUGGGUAGGGAUGCAUGCGAGUGUGUGGGUAUAUGCAUACACACACACACAUAUAUAUAUAUAUAUAUAUAUAUAUAUAUAUAUAUAUAUACAUAUACAUACAUACGUGUGAGUGUCUGUGUUUCUGUUUCUAUCUCCUCCAUCCUCGGUGUUGUCAGUUCGGCAACAGAGACCGACAGAAUGAGUACUUUACUUAAAAAAUAUAUAUGCAGUGGGGGGGGGGGGGUGCAAUUAUUAAGCCUAAACCUUUGAAAGUGGUACCCGAGUAAUGCCACAAGUCCUAUGCUUGAAACAAAUAAAAAGAUCUAGGAUAUUCUGUACUUCCAUAAAUGUACACGAUUGGGAAUUAAUUUCGUCCCAGUUGUGAUUAAUAUGACACACAGUCAUACACACACACACACAUACACACACACACACACACGCACGCACACACGCACCCACCCACACACACAUAUAAACAAGAGGGUUCUUUCAGUUUCUUAUUUGUUUACUGCCUACAACGGGCUAAGCAGAGAGAGGACAAACAAGGACAGACAAAGGGAUUAAGUCGAUUACAUCAACCCCAGUGCGUAACUGGUCCUUAUUUAAUCGACCCCGAAAGGAUGAAAGGGAAAGUCGACCUCGGCGGAAUUUGAACUCAGAACAUAGCGGCAGACGAAAUACCGCUAAGCAUUUCGCCCGGCAUGCUAAUGUUUCUGCCAGAUCGCCGCCUUCUUUCAGUUUCUGUCAUCCAAAUCCUCUUACAAGGCUCUGGUCGACCCGAGGCUGUUGUAGCAGGCAUUCGCCCGGGGUGUCACACAAUUGGACUGAACCUGAAACCAUGUGGUUGGGAAGUGAGCUUCUUACCUCACAGGCACGUCUAUUCGAGGUUUUGGAGUUGCAAGUUCGUUCAUCAAAGUAGUAUCUUGCAUUUGCUUCUUUUAUUUACCAGAAACCACAUUUGAAUCCAAGAUUUGUAAGAAAUUGGGCAGAUUGACACUGUAGAACAAGUGGUUCUGAACCAGGGUCCAUACGACCCCUUAAAUUGGGGAUCCACAGUGGUAUUUUAAGUGUCUAUGCUUUGAUUUAAAUAUGUCUAUUUCAAGAAACAGCUAAGUUUCUUUCUUUAACGUUCUACAUAGUUCAACCCACUCAAGUUGAUAUCUGCAUAUCGAAAUAGGAAUUUUGAAAAGUAUUUAUAAAACUUGUUUUUAAACAUCGAAUGGCUAUGGGCUAUAGAGUUUCACCAAAAUCAAAGCGCUCUAUAAUGAAUAAUGGUUGAGAACCAUUGCUGUAGAAGGUCGUUGGAAGAAACUCUUUACUCUUUUACUCUUUUACUUGUUUCAGUCAUUUGACUGCGGCCAUGCUGAAGCACUGCCUUUAGUCGAACAAAUCGACCCCAGAAUUUAUUCUUUGUAAGCCUAGUACUCAUUCUAUCGGUCUCUUUUGCCGAACGGCUGAGGGACGUAAACACACCAGCAUCGGUUGUCAAGCGAUGUUGGGUGGGGGGCAAACACACACACACACACACACACACACACACACACACACACACAUAUAUAUAUAUAUAUAUAUAUAUAUAUAUAAUUUUAAUCCAAACGGGAAACAAAAAAACAACAACAAGGGAACAAUUACAGUAUUAUUAUUAAUAGGCGCUCAGGAAAUGGAAGCAGGGAGGUAUGACGUUUCGAGCGGAGCUCUUCGUCGGAAACAUAAAGAAGGAAGAGAGAGGAAAGAAAGAUCCCGGAGCGGGCAACGGAGAUAGAGAAAAAAACGGCUGGUGUUAGGAGUAGCACAUGGUGAAAGGCGGAUGUUUACGAUAACAAGAGCAAAGUGGGUUUUUAAAGGCAAAAGAGUGGAGACAAGGUUGGUAACGCAACAGAUGUGUGUGUAUGUGUGAGUGUGUGCGUGUGCGUGUGUGUAUGUGUGUGUGUGAGGCGAGGUAAAAAAACAAAAAAUAUGUAUGUGUUAGUGUGUGCGUCUGUGUGUAGGCGUGUGAGGUAGGGCGAGACGGUGGUCAGCAUAGCAGCAGCAUAGCAGACAAAGGUCAGUAGUGAGAAAAGGGAGGAAGGAGGAAGGGAGGGAGGGGAAGGGGUGGGGGCGUAUGUAGCGUGCCAGCGUGUGUUGAGUAGUAGUGUGUGUGUGUGUCCAGUGUCGUGGUAGUAUUAGUGGCGAGUAGAUUGAAUGUGUGUAAGAGUGAUGUAUAUGUUUAAGCAAUGUGUGUAUAUGUGUGCGCGUGUGUGUAACGAAAAAAAAGGGGGGGGGGGGUAGGAAAAGGACUCCAGCGGAGGGGAAGAUGGAAGAGUGGUCCCGCGGAGACGGGCGUGGGAAAACCCAACGACAAGCGACAUCCCAGGAACGGGCGGGAGGUCUCGUCGGGUCCAAGGGCGAGGUGCAUGCGGGGCGCAUGCGUGCGCGAACCGGCGCAAACGCGUGUGUGCGCGAGCCUGCGAGUGUGCGCGUACGUAUGUGUGCGUGUGGAUGUGUGAGUGUGUCUGUGUGUAUGUCUGGGUGGCAGUGUGUCCGAUGAAUGUAUGUGAGUAUGUGUGUAUAUAUGUGUGUGCAUAGAUGUAUGUCCGUGUGUGUGUGUGUGUGUGUGUAUGUGUGUAUGAGUGUGUAUGUAUGUACGUGUGGGUGUGGGGAAGUGUGUGUAUGUGCAUGUGUGUGCGCGAACAUACAGGUGUGUGAGUGAGUGCGUGUGUGUGUAUGUAUGUGUGAGUGUGUAUGUAUGUGUGUGUAGGAUGCAUGUAUGUAUAUGGGUGUAUGUAUGCGUGUGUGUAUGUAUGUAUGUGUACGUGCGUGUGUGUGUGUGUAUGCGUGUAGGUGUGCGCGUGUGCAUGCGUGCAUGUAUGUGCGUAUGUGUGUGUGUGUGCAUGUGUGUGGGUAUAUAUGCGUGUGCGUAUAUGUGUGUGUAUGUGCGUACAUGUGUGUGUGUGUGCAUGUGUGUGUGUAGGUGUGUAGGCGUGUGUGUAUAGGUGUAUGUAUGUAAGUAUGUAUGGGUGUGUCCGUGUAUGUGUGUAUGUAUGUGUGUUUAUGUAGCUGUGUGGGCGUGUGUAUAUGUGUGUGUAUGUAGGUGUGUAGGCGUGUGUAUAUAGGUGUAUGUAUGUAUGUCUGGGUGUGUCCGUGCAUGUUUGUGUGUGUGUGUGUAUGCAUGUGUAUGUAGGUGUGUGUGUACGUGUGUAAUGUAUGUGUGUAUGCGUGUGUAUGCGUGCGUGUGUGUAUGUAGGUGCGUGUGUAUGUGUGUGGGAGUGUAGGUGUGUGUGUGCGUGUGCGUGU